RNAcentral lists this ribosomal RNA (437 nucleotides) under uncultured bacterium. RNAcentral's name for it is "bacterial SSU rRNA". It matches the Rfam family "Bacterial small subunit ribosomal RNA", at positions 954 to 1392 of the family's 1533-position model. The record is from RNAcentral.
GCAUAACGCGAAGAACCUUACCUACCCUUGACAUGUCAGAGAUCCCUGAGAGAUUGGGGAGUGCCGCAAGGAAUCUGAACACAGGUGCUGCAUGGCUGUCGUCAGCUCGUGUCGUGAGAUGUUGGGUUAAGUCCCGCAACGAGCGCAACCCUUGUCGUUAAUUGCCAUCAUUUGGUUGGGCACUUUAACGAGACUGCCGGUGACAAACCGGAGGAAGGUGGGGAUGACGUCAAGUCCUCAUGGUUCUUAUGGGUAGGGCUUCACACGUCAUACAAUGGUCGGUACAGAGGGUUGCGAAGCCGCGAGGUGGAGCCAAUCCCAGAAAGCCGAUCGUAGUCCGGAUUGGAGGCUGCAACUCGCCUCCAUGAAGUCGGAAUCGCUAGUAAUCGCGGAUCAGCAUGUCGCGGUGAAUACGUUCCCGGGUCUUGUACACACCG